Unclassified non-coding RNA from Bison bison bison, 86 nucleotides. Lineage: Eukaryota; Metazoa; Chordata; Mammalia; Artiodactyla; Bovidae. The record is from Ensembl.
UUAUGGGGUAGCGCUGGGGACAGGUGGCCGGGCCAAGGUUCCGGGGGUCCUCCAUGAGAGUCGUGGAUGGGCCCCGCUGUCGGCUG